This 521-nucleotide ribosomal RNA is filed under the name uncultured bacterium. Its description in RNAcentral is "bacterial SSU rRNA". It matches the Rfam family "Bacterial small subunit ribosomal RNA", at positions 120 to 674 of the family's 1533-position model. The record is from RNAcentral.
GGGAAUCUACCCUGAACUGCGGGAUAGCUCCGGGAAACUGGAAUUAAUACCGCAUAUGCCCUGAGGGGCAAAGGUUGAUCUGGUUCAGGAUGAGCCCGCGUCCGAUUAGCUAGUUGGUGGGGUAAAGGCCUACCAAGGCGACGAUCGGUAGCUGGUCUAAGAGGAUGAUCAGCCACAUUGGGACUGAGGCACGGCCCAAACUCCUACGGGAGGCAGCAGUGGGGAAUAUUGGACAAUGGGCGCAAGCCUGAUCCAGCCAUGCCGCGUGAGUGAUGAAGGCCCUAGGGUUGUAAAGCUCUUUCAGUGGGGACGAUAAUGACGGUACCCACAGAAGAAGCCCCGGCUAACUUCGUGCCAGCAGCCGCGGUAAUACGAAGGGGGCUAGCGUUGUUCGGAAUUACUGGGCGUAAAGCGCACGUAGGCGGACAUUUAAGUCAGGGGUGAAAUCCCGGGGCUCAACCCCGGAACGGCCUUUGAUACUGGGUGUCUUGAGUGUGGUAGAGGUGAGUGGAAUUGCGAGU